GGCCAUAUGACUAGUGCUGCCCAAUGGACUGUGAACAGAAAUGACAGCAUCACUCGCAUGGAGACUCCUCCAUCUCUGUCUUCCCUGUUGUGACAGUCUCAGAGCCUACGUUCUUUCAAUGGCUGGGCUACAAGAUGGUGACAGGCUGCCCAACCUGACACAGCAAGAAGGCGGCCAUCUGCAAACCAGAAAGAGAGCCCUCACCAGGAACCGGAUCUGCUGGCACCUUGAUCUUGGACUUCCUAUCCUUUAGAGCUGUGAGAAAUGUCGCCCCCAGGUCAAUGGGAUAUUUGUUACAGCACCAGGUACUGCCUGAGAACUCUACCUUUAGGGAGCCUGCGUGCUGGGUCACUGGGGAGACAAUGAAGGUGCUUGACACCCAGUUUGAAUAUUGUGUCACUGCAAAGCUGACUGCUGUUGAAGGAUAGCCAGUGAGAGGUCAUGGCAAGCCAUCAGAAGAAGCAGAAGUCAUGAGCAUGCUGAAGCUAUGAGGCCAAGACAAAAUGUCACAUUGCCACAAGAAGAGGGACAAACAGGCAACAGGCAGAGCCCAUGGGAAUCAGUAAUCUCCUGCUGACACUGAGGCCUUGGGACUAACUCAGAUCCAGUACUACUCUCUUGGGACCUGUUCUGACUCCAGCUCCUGUCCUUGGGGUCCACUGAGAUCCCUGUAGCCUUGUAAUAAGCCCACAUUAUCAUAUUUCCCCUGCCGGCUCCACCCUAGAGCAUUUCCAACAAUUUCCAGUGCUUUUCCCCUUCUCAUACCACUGGGCCUUUGCACGUGCUCGUGCCUCCCCAACUUGCCCUGCCUUCUCCUUCACCCAGACAACUCCUACUAAAUCUCUCAGACUCCUCAGCUGUGUCCCUUCCUAGGGGAGGACUCUCUUCCCUCCAGUGAGCCCGGUGGUCCUCCCUGGGAUCCCCUGCUCCUUGUCUUCCCUGCCGUCCUUACUGCCAUCCUUGUUCUCUACUCAGAAGGAGGCAGAGGCUGGCCUGCCCCCAAUCCCCUGUAGACUGACCAGAUGAAUUGACCUGGGCUGGGCAGGGCAGGCGUGUUUGACCAGUUGUCUGGGCACCCCAUGGCUCAGUCAAGUUGACACAUAAAGUUCACCGCCCCAGGGCCCCUUCGUUGUAUUUGUGUAUGAAUAAAACACAGCAUCCACUCCAGGUAUCUGAGGGUCCUGGAGGCAGGUUUUGUGAUCCCUUUUUACAGAUGAGGAUGCGGAGGUCCAGUUGUCACUCACCCAGAUCACACUCUCAUCUGCUGAUGGGAGGAGUAUUUGAUGGGAUGUGUGAGCCCGGCCGUCUCCCUUGGGACACAUCAGCUCAUUAAAUUUGCCAGCCCCUGCCUGAAAAAGUAUUUAAUUUGCCUUUUACAAUGCACCCAUUGCAAGUUAAUUAACUGGCAAUUGAAAGUUAUAGGUGGCAUUAGAAUUUAUUAAUAACAUUGGGAAUAAAUCUCCCUGGAAUUCAAUUAACUGA
Molecule: long non-coding RNA, 1482 nt
Filed under: Homo sapiens (human)
Lineage: Eukaryota; Metazoa; Chordata; Mammalia; Primates; Hominidae
Description: non-protein coding LINC01007:2
Source: RNAcentral